CUAAACUGAAGCUGCUGUAACUAAAGGAAUCUGAAAAGAACAACCCUGAAGCAGAGGCCUUUAUUGUCUUGGUUGCCAGUAGUACCUUGUUUUGCCAUGUAGCAGACAACACACAAAAUAAUGCAGUUGUGGUGUGCCAUGCUAUGUGCACAGCCCCUUGGAUUACUUUGUUUUAAAAAGCAUCAGAGUUGGGGGUACUUUAGGGAAACCUUUGCUUACCUUGUUUUGCCAGUGAUAAGAGCAGUGGGUUGGAGGGCACUUGGCCAGUUUUCUGUUCAGCUUUUCAGUGAAUGUACCCCUUUAAGGUUCAGACUUAAACUUCCUUAAAAAGUGGCGUUGUUCAUAGAAUCGUUGGACUCAUUAAUGAAUCGUUCAACUCCACUCACUGAAGCCCAGACCUCCGUGCCCAGGCCCAAUCUCGUCAGGCUGCCAGAGAAAGUUGGUGCUGCUCAUACUGGUCUCACAGUCUAAUACCUAAGACUAAUGCUUUCUGUGGACACCACUGAGCUCUGCCUCAACUCCACCCUCUGCGACCGGAGGACUAUGCCCCUAGUAACUGCUGUCGGUGUGGACGCUGUGCUGGUUCUGUUUUCUAAAGGAGCAGAAGGACAGGUCUCUGAGACAGGAUCGUUGUCCCUACAGGAGGAACAGUGGCCUUGCUUCUUAGACGGUCUUCACUGUGUGUUUUAAAACAACAACAACAACAACAACAACAACAUAAAACUCUUUUGACCUGUAACUUAAAGAUCAUAAACUUCAGGCAAUAAUAUUUUCUGUGUAAGCUUUUAAAAUUAUUUUUGGGGAUCAUAGCUUGUUUUAUUUUGUGCUAUAAAAUUAACAGUAUUAAAUGACUUAUAUUCUUAGAAUACAUCGAGUGUCUUUUCUUAACAGAUUAGUGCCUUUUUAUUUUUGUAUUCCGUUUUACGUUACUGGUCCCAGCAUCAAAACCCUUGUUUCCAUGGCCUGUUUGUAUAUUGUCUCAAUAAAACUUGCAUCAGCCGGUGGUGGCGGC
RNAcentral lists this long non-coding RNA (1012 nucleotides) under Homo sapiens (human). Its description in RNAcentral is "HSALNT0275523". Lineage: Eukaryota; Metazoa; Chordata; Mammalia; Primates; Hominidae. The record is from RNAcentral.